This 409-nucleotide ribosomal RNA is filed under the name Dolichognatha environmental sample. RNAcentral describes it as "partial small subunit ribosomal RNA". It matches the Rfam family "Eukaryotic small subunit ribosomal RNA", at positions 30 to 432 of the family's 1831-position model. The record is from RNAcentral. Lineage: Eukaryota; Metazoa; Arthropoda; Arachnida; Araneae; Tetragnathidae.
GCUUGUCUCAAAGAUUAAGCCAUGCAUGUCUAAGUUCAUGCCGUAUUAAGGCGAAACCGCGAAUGGCUCAUUAAAUCAGUUAUGGUUCCUUGGAUCGUACUUUACUACUUGGAUAACUGUGGCAAUUCUAGAGCUAAUACAUGCAGCAGAGCUCCGACCUUCGGGGACGAGCGCUUUUAUUAGACCAAAACCGAUCGAGGCUUCUGCUUCGUUUCCGUGGUGACUCUGUAUAACUUUGGGCUGAUCGCACGGUCUUAGUGCCGGCGACGUAUCUUUCAAGUGUCUGCCUUAUCAACUGUCGAUGGUAGGUUACGCGCCUACCAUGGUCGUAACGGGUAACGGGGGAUCAGGGUUCGAUUCCGGAGAGGGAGCCUGAGAAACGGCUACCACAUCCAAGGAAGGCAGCAGG